AUUCCAGCUCCAGUAGCGUAUAUUAAAGUUGUUGCAGUUAAAAAGCUCGUAGUUGGAUUUCUGAUAGUAGCGUUGGGCCCGCCCGGGUUACCGGUGUGAGUGCCUGUUCGCUCCUUUCAUCCUUCUAGAGAACGGUUCUCUCCUUCAUUGGCAGUGGGAUCGCAAUCUAGAUCUUUUACUUUGAAAAAAUUAGAGUGUUUAAAGCAGGCUUGUGCUAUGAAUACAUUAGCAUGGAAUAAUAAUUUAGGACUUUAGUUCUAUUUUGUUGGUUUCUAGAACUGAAGUAAUGAUUGAUAGGGAUAGUUGGGGGACAUUCAUAUUGCAUGGCUAGAGGUGAAAUUCUUGGAUUCAUGCAAGAUGAACUACUGCGAAAGCAUUUGUCAAAGAUGUUCUCAUCA
Molecule: ribosomal RNA, 398 nt
Filed under: Reckertia sp.
Lineage: Eukaryota; Cercozoa; Imbricatea; Thaumatomonadida; Thaumatomastigidae
Description: partial small subunit ribosomal RNA
Rfam family: Eukaryotic small subunit ribosomal RNA
Source: RNAcentral